GGUUAAGCGACUAAGCGUACACGGUGGAUGCCCUGGCAGUCAGAGGCGAUGAAGGACGUGCUAAUCUGCGAAAAGCGUCGGUAAGGUGAUAUGAACCGUUAUAGCCGGCGAUGUCCGAAUGGGGAAACCCAGUGCAAUUCGUUGCACUAUCGUUAACUGAAUACAUAGGUUAACGAGGCGAACCGGGGGAACUGAAACAUCUAAGUACCCCGAGGAAAAGAAAUCAACCGAGAUUCCCCCAGUAGCGGCGAGCGAACGGGGAGCAGCCCGGAGUCUGAAUCAGCUUGUGUGUUAGUGGAAGCGUCUGGAAAGUCGCAGGGUACAGGGUGAUACUCCCGUACACUAAAACACACAGGUUGUGAACUCGAAGAGUAGGGCGGGACACGUGGUAUCCUGUCUGAAUAUGGGGGGACCAUCCUCCAAGGCUAAAUACU
This 434-nucleotide ribosomal RNA is filed under the name Klebsiella michiganensis. RNAcentral describes it as "partial 23S ribosomal RNA". It matches the Rfam family "Bacterial large subunit ribosomal RNA", at positions 1 to 474 of the family's 2925-position model. Lineage: Bacteria; Pseudomonadati; Pseudomonadota; Gammaproteobacteria; Enterobacterales; Enterobacteriaceae. The record is from RNAcentral.